This is a long non-coding RNA of Diachasma alloeum, 664 nucleotides long. RefSeq lists it as uncharacterized. The record is from RefSeq and is a predicted model, not a curated record. The transcript has 3 exons. Lineage: Eukaryota; Metazoa; Arthropoda; Insecta; Hymenoptera; Braconidae.
UCAUUUUUGAUUUUCAUUCGAGAGGAUUCGAGUCUUUCCCUCUAUCCUUGUCGCUCGUGAAAACAAGCAAUCGGAGUGUAUAUAUACCCCCCUCAAAUGCAUCGACGCGUCAUUUCAAUUCUACCAGUGACUAAUUAGUCGUGACCGCGUGAGGACCAGUGACAUCUGAGUGACGCAUAAGCGAUUCCGGUGGAUUUUCGAGAGUAUUGAAUUUGAAGGAAAAAAUGGCACACCAGCACCCAAGUUAUUCAAUGGUACCAAAUGUUUGGGUGCCAAAUGAGUGGAUGAAUUUACUGCCUAGACCUGUUCUCCACAUGGUCAUCGCCAUGACUCUUCAUGAUGGAGCAACAACAGACAUGAACAUCUAUGUCGAUCUGGUUGGCGUUUCAACUGUUCUGAGAACGCUUCCAGAAGGUCCAUCCUUCUUCUUUGAGAGAGCACCACUCCCGCCAUGCACAGCUGGACACGGCUGUCCUCGUUGCCAUCGCUGCAAUGAUGUUAACAACGUUCCAUAAAAAGUGGACUCGUACAGCUGAGCACAUGAUGUAUCAAUGUCGGAUGGAGUGCUCAUCUCAUGCUAUAUCGACUUCAUUCCUCAUUUUAUUUUUCUACAUGAACAUUUUUUUUUAAUUAUACAAUGAUAUCAAAGUUUUUCAAUUCAUAA